This 16964-nucleotide long non-coding RNA is filed under the name Lynx pardinus (Iberian lynx). The stretch from base 13170 to 13254 matches the Rfam family "tRNA". Lineage: Eukaryota; Metazoa; Chordata; Mammalia; Carnivora; Felidae. The record is from RNAcentral.
UUUAUCUGGUUAUGGUACUUGGUGAUAAAGGCUUUCGAGAGCCUAUUAUUUCUAACCUCUAAGUACAGACCCCAGUGAAAAAUAUACUGGGGAGAUUCAACCUCUCUAUGGGAAAAGGUUCAAACACCUUUUCCAAAUUUAAAAUUUGCCUUAAAUGCUCUCUGCCACACUGCCUUUGACAGUCUUGAAAGUCCAUGUAGUUCUCUAGAGAGACUUCAAAAAGAUGUGAUUUUAUCAAAGACUAAUCCUGUGCCUCUCGGGUUCAGCGUUUUAUGUCUUGCACUUUCCCUGGGAAGGAGUGAACCUCUUUUCUCUAGCUCUGGGUCUAUUAUAUUUAAUUCUGCUCUUGAUAGUCAAAGACCAGAGACAAUUACUGUCCUCUGAACAACCCUUCGAGAAGCCAGACUGGUGUUUGAUGAAUGUUAUGUACUAAAUAAAACCCAUCAGCAUGGGGUUACGUAGAAAAGCAAUUUAUUCCAUUAUAAGCACUUACACAGUUAGUCAUGGAGAGUAACAGGCCUGCUGGUGAAACAGGUCACCCAAAAUAGAGAUGGUACCAAACUAGUGGUCAAGGACUAACUCCUUUAAAAAAAAAAAAGGCAACUCUUAUCCAGGAUUAAUUUAAUUUUAAAAACAAAUACAAGCUAUCAAUUCACUCUUCUCAACUCAACUGGACAGUCUACCUGUGGUAUAACUGUCAGGUAAAAACAUACAUCUUUACAACUUGGUGGUCCCAAGUUUUUUAAAAAAACCAUUUCACAGAAAGGAAAGAAAUAUGAAAACAGCUCAAGAAAUACACUAACAAGCAAAAAUAUAUGGGGAAAGAGGAACACAUAGGUUUGACUUAACUGAAGAAACAGGGGAGACUGGUCUACAUAGGAAAAUGUGCAUCCUGGAAAGUCAGGUGUGAAGAUUUCAGAAGAGGAAUUUAUAGGACUUGAAUCUCCCCCAUUUCCUGAAUAAAAAUGACAUCGUGUGGUAUUUAUACUCCAUGGCUCAGACACCUACCUCACUUGGCUCUAUUCCUUCCUCACUUUAGCCUUAACUUAAAGGAGUCUGAAAAACUUGGGGAUACAGCCUAAGAAGAAAAAUAACCACACACAAUAUUCCCCUUUCUAAAGUGGCUACUUUAGACCUUUGUUACUAGAAAAUUCCUGAAGAAAAUUUAAAUAGAAGUCUGUGGUUUUACUGAAUCAAGUCCCCCAGUUAAUAUUUAGAAAACACCCUCUGUUUGGGCUAGUAACAUUGUUGAUGGUACCUAUCUAUCAUAGAGGGAUAGCCAAACAAAGUCUGUGUCUCAAAACCAGUGUUAAAUCAAUCUCAGGGUUGAGAGGAAAAACAGGGGAGUCUAAAAUCACAAGAAGUGCAGACAUAUCUAGGACCCUUGUCCUUCUGGAUCCACGCUUCCUUCAGGGUCUUCAUCAUUAUAAAUGUUCUCUGCCUGCCCAAAAACAAGAAACAGAGAAAGGGCAUUUAGUAAACAUGGAAGAUAUUUCUUGAAGUUAAAGUUUCAAAAACAGAUCAGGCCAGAGAGAGAGACUGAACCAGAGUCUCUGUAGCAACUAUUCAGCCCUGCAGUUGCUACAUGAAAGCAACCAUUGACCAUCUGAAAAUGAAUGGGUAUGGCUAUGUUCCAAUAAAAACAGGCAGCUGGCCCACAGGCCAAGUAGAUUAGGACAUUCCCACAAAACUGAAGUAUGGUUACUGUUUGUCUUCACACUCAACCUUCAGGAGUCCUUUUAUUGGACGUUAGUCACAAGAGUCAAAAAGUAAAAACGACAGGGGCGCCUGGGUGGCUCAGUUGGUUGAGCGUCAGACCGGCUCAGGUCAUGAUCUCACAGUUUGUGGGUUCAAGCCCUGCAUCAGGCUCUGUGCUGACAGCUCAGAGCCUGGAGCCUGCUUCAGAUUCUGUGUCUCCCUCUCUCUGUCCCUCCCCUGCUCACGCUCUCUCUCUCUCUCUCUCAAAAAAAAUAUAAAACAUUAAAAAAAAUUUAUAGAAUUAAAAAAAGUAAAAACACCACAAAUGCCCAUCAAAUGAUGAAUAAAUAAAAAUGGUAUGUGGCAAUAAAAAAAAGGUAGUCACAUAUUGUAUUAUUUAGUUUAUAGUAAGUGUCCAGAACAGGCAAAUCCGUAAAGUGGACUGGGGAUUGCCUACUGUUGGGUGGACUGGAGAAAAAUAGGGAGUGAUGGCUAAUGGGUAUGCAGUUUUUCUGAGGGGUAAAUUACUGUGGUGACGGUUGCAUAAUUCUGUGAUUACAGUAAAAAAUAAAUAAGCGUUCAUUAAGAGACUCCCCCCCCCCAACCAUGGGUUUCAAAUCUCAAUUUAUGAAUAUUUUUAAAAGAAAAUUGCUCUAGGGACGCCUGCGUGGCUCAGUUAGUUGGGCGUCCAACUUCGGUUCAGGUCAUGAUCUUGCAGGUCGUGGGUUCGAGCCCCACAUCGGGUGCUCUGCUGUCAGCAUGGAGCCUGCUUCAGAUCCUGUCUCCCUCUUUCUCUCUGCCCCUCCCCUGCUUGCGCAUGUGCUCGCUCUCUCUCAAAAAAAAAAAAAAAAAGAAAUGUAAAAAGAAAAAAGAAAACUGCUCUAGCAUAAACUCUACUUCUAUUAUUUGAUGAGAAACUUGCAGCCAAAGGCAUAAUCUUAAAUACAGAAAAUACUUUUAUUUGGGGAAAGUUAACUGUUCUUACUUAGCAUCUACUGUGCACAAAUCACUAGGCUAGGUGCUGCAGAGGAUGCGACAGUCUUAUCUUUAAAAAGCCUGUGAUCUGACUGCAACAGGAACGUAUACGAUUUUGUAAUGUUUUCUGACAACGAAUGUGUAACUGUCUUUUUCACCCAAAGGUGUCUAACAAUUCAAUUCAAUCCUGACACUAACUACACCUAGAAGUAGUGUCAGACUCCACAGGUUUAAGGGCCUGGUCCCACAAGACUAUAAUCCUCACUUCAGAGGCCAGUGUCAAGCGGAGUGCCCAGACUAACCAUGUACUUCUGUCCAACUUGCCUAUAAAACUUGGGGGUUUCCACAGGCUGCCCUCCCACCCCCUGCCAUCUUAGAUUUGAUAAUUUGCUGGAAUGAUUCAUAAAAUCAUGAAAACUUUUAUUUAGUAUCAGCAGUUUACAACUUAAAACUCAGGAAUAGUCAAAUGGCAGUGAUGCCCAGGGCACGGUGAAAAGGGAGCACAGAGCGUCCAUGCCUUCCCUAGGCAGCAUCGAUCUAUUUAACAACUUGGAAGCUCAUUGCAUCGAGAAGUUUUAUAGAGGCUUUUCAAGAGUCUUUACAGAGCGCAAUCCCCUCUGCUUGUGGGUGGGAGGGACUGAAAAGUUUUCCAAUCAACUGUUCAGUCUUUUGGGAGUUCAGACCUAUCCUGAGGCUAUCCAGUGGCCCUAAGUUACCUCCUUAGCCUAAACUCAGGCGUGGCCAAAAGGGGCUCUUUAUAAAUAGGAAUAGAGACUUCUACCACUCUGACAAUUCCAAAGGUUUUAGGAUCUCUGUGCUAGGAACCUGGACAAAGACCAAAUAUUUAUUUUAUAAUUCUCCUUUUCUUUUACCACAAUUCUAAAAAAAACAAGUAAAGAAAAUACCUGGCCUGCCUGAAGAUGAUGUAGUUCAAUCUACUACAACAAUCCCAUGGGAACAACUAAAAUAUUUUUAAUUUAAAGGCUAUCCAAGGCAGAUUAUUUCACUUUUCCGUCUUUAAUUUUUAUAUUAAUUUUAUGUGGGUACAAUACAAGGAAAAAGGUGAGCCAGAUUUUCUGUUUACACAUAUAACACAUAAUUAUUACUAAAAGGAAUAAAGAAGAAAUAAAAAUACUCCCUAAAUAUACCAACCACAUUUUGACAAACAGCCUUCUAAAUAGUUACACAUAAUUUUUUAAAAAUGUUUAUCUUUGAGAGUGCACGCAUGCAGGCGCACCCAGGCACCCCUAAUUAAACACUAGCUACAAUAAUUUUAACAUGAGGGAUUACAGCAUGCUAUUGUUCUACAACCUGUCCUUUUCCUACUUAAAAUGUCAUGGGUAUCUUAUAAAAACAAAGCACAUUUCUUUUUGAUACAUAAUAUUCCAAAGUACAGAUACACCACACAAUAUGUUAAUCUCAGGAGCACCUGGGUGGCUCAGUCAAACAUUGGACUUCCGCUCAGGUCAUGAUCUCAUGGUUUGUGAGUUCAAGCCCUGUGUCCAGCUCUAUGCGAACAGCUGACAGCCUGGAGCCUGCUUUGAAUUCUGUGUCUCCCUCUCCCUCUGCCCCUCCCCCACUCACGCUAUUUUAAAACUAAAAUAAACAUUUAAAAAAAUCUGUGGUAAACACAUAAAAUUUACCAUCUUGGGGCGCCUGGAUGGCUAAGGCAGUUAAAUAUCCGAUUCUUAAUUCUGACUCAGGUCAUGAUCCCACAGUUUGUGGGACUGAGCGUCAGGAUCAGGGCUGACACCACAGAGCCCGCUUGGGAUUCUCAUUCUCCCCCUCUCAGCCCCUCCCCCACUUGCACACAUGCUCUCUCUCCAAAAAAACUUACGAAAAAUAUCUUAAAUUUACCAUCUUAACCACUUUUUAAAAGCGUUUCAUUUUUGAGACAGUGUGAGUGGGGAAGGGGAAGGGGAUACAGCAGAUCCAAAGUGGGCUCUGCACUGAUAGCAGUGAGCCUGAUUCGGGGCUUGAACUCACCUAACCAGAUCAUGACCUGAGCUGAAGUCAGACACUUGACCGACUGAGUCACCCAGACAGCCCCCAUCUGAAUCAUUAUUAAGUGUACAGUUCAGAGGCAUUAAGCCCAUUCACCUUAUGUCCAACUAUCAACCACCAUCCAUCUCCAGAAGGCAAGUGUUUCUAACUCUGCUAUAUAUUAGACAUCAUAGUUAUCUUUUAUUAAAUUCCAAGCUCUCUGGAAAUUCAAAGAAUUCACCUCAAUCACCUCCAACCGGGGUAUAAAGGGCAAGGAUGUUUUCAGCAUCUACUAAAAUUUCAUGGAGAAAUGAUAGUAUUUGAUGCUGUGCCACUGUGGUAGGCAUGUGCUGGGCAUGUUCAUAAGCCACUUCAAAGGAAUGCCAUUCUCAAAGAUUCAACUGCCAGCAAAGAGGGGAAAGCAGAAGGCAAGCCAACAGCAAGGAGGUUAUUAUAGUCUAGAAAGUAGUAGUAAGAAUCUGACAAAAACUAGGGUGUGUAGUAGAAACAGGAAAGUAGGUAUGUAAGUGUGUAUUCUGUAAGAGGAGUAUAGAUAUGACCCUGCAGACAGACAAUGUUAAACCUGGUAAGUGAACUAGACUUAGAAGUCUAGUGAUAAUAAACUCUUGAGUUUUCAAGUUGGAAGAGCUGGAGAAGACACUAGAGCCAUAUAGGAAACAGGAAAAUCAGGAGGAAAGGGGAGUAAGGUAAAGGGGGAGAGAAGUUUGGUUUGAGUCUGAAACACCACUGGCACAAGAAGAUAAAGGUAACAAGCAGACACUUGAAAAUGAUAAUGUGCAGCUAAGUGCUAAAGUCAUACUCAGGAAUAAACUGACCAGAGAGGCCAGUGGUAUUCAUUAAAGUCUAUAAAUAUGAAGUGACACUACAUCUCAUUUACCUAACCUCCCCCAAAUAAAUGAUUAACACUUACCAUUUGCCAAACCUGCAUGAUAUUAUCUUCUGAUACAGAACAAAUCACCCAAGGUUCAUUGGGAUUCCAGGAGAAAUCAGAUAUCUUGGCAGUGUGACCACCAUGAAUAAACUGCAAGAGGGAGAAAAACAAAGAUAUGAGGAACAGAUAGAGGACAAUAAAUACAGACUAUUUCAAUACUACUCAGUGUGUGUAACAUACCAACAAUUCUGGUGGCCCAUCUUCUGCAUCUUCUGGGGAUUGUUCCUCUCCAAUUUUACUAGCACAAGAAAAUUUUUAUAAGUUAAAACAUUUAUCCUGAGUAACUAAUUUGGGAAAGUAUAAAUAAAGUUAACUCCACAAAAAGUAACUAACACAAGAUUUACCUUAAAUCCCAGACGUUCAGUCUGCGAUCAGUACCACUGGAAGCCAAAAUAGUCUCAUUGUGAGGCGACCACUGAACCUAUAGUAAGAAUGAAGGAAACAGAAAAGCAUUUAGAAAAUUCAGGGAGGGGGCACCUAGGUGGCUCAGUCAGUAAGCGUUCGACUUCAGCUCAGGUUGUGAUCUCACGGUUCAUGAGUUUGAGCCCCACGUCGGGCUCUGUGCUGACAGCUCAGAGCCUGGAGCCUACUUCCGAUUCUGUGUCUCCUUCUCUCUCUGUUCCUCCCCCACUCACGUUCUGUCUCUCUCUCAAAACACAAAUAAACAUUAAAAAAAAAUUUAAAAAUUGAGGAGAAAAUACCUAAAUUAUAUUUAACAAUUAAAACAUUUUGUAAAUAAAAGAAGAAAUCAACGUAUUUUAGAUGUUAUAAAACUUGACAGCUAGAUAAUAUUGUUUCUUAUAUGGAAAUAAUCUAUCACUAAACCUAGGAAGUCAGCUUUUGUUCUUUUUCACUUUACACGUAUGUAUUUUAAAGAUUUUUAAACUUUAAAGUAGGCUCCACACCCAAAGUGGGGCUUGAACACACGACCCCAAGAUCAAGAGUUGCAUGCUCCACCAACUGAGCCAGCCAGGUGCUCAUCUUAUAUUUUUGAGGAUCUGAUCUUAUCUAUUCUUACGAAUUCUGGCUUCUGGCUGAAUGUAAUCCAAUUCUGACCUUAGAACCAAAAUGCAAAACACAUACACACAAUAUUUUCUCAAAUACUUACUAUAAAUUCAGCACUAUAAAACUGAUAAAAAAUGACUCCUUACAAUAAUGACUUUAUUAAAGUUAGCUACUACACACACAACAAAAUCACAUAUUGUUACACUGUUUGAUAAGAAAGUCCUAGGUUCACGGUACGGAUAAGAGUGCAUUAGUGACCAAUACUUAGGGAGGAAUUUAGACAUACUCCUGGCAAGAAUACCAUUACAGGCAAGGACAAAAAGACAGAGUAAAGACAAAAUGUUCACUGGAGAGGCUGAGAGUAGAAAAUAAGGUUAAGUGAGACUAAGUGCAUGGGAAAAUGGCUCACCUAGAGACUAGUUCAGAGGCCACUUUCACACAACCAAAAUUAAAUUUGACCACUUUUAGGUUCUUAACACUUGACCAUCUUUUAUUAUGGUGACUCUAAAUGGGCCUUUCCUUGCUAUAGAAUUGUAAGCUCUUUGACAGCAAAGACUAGAACAUAUUCCUCACAGUUUUCCAGCAAUAAGCUUUGAACAUAGUGCAACAUUUCUUGACUGAGUCAGUUUUUCCAGAUUAAGAAAGGAGCUUAAACUCAUGAGGCAGGAAACAUGGGGGCUAGCACUUUAGGCUUCAACAACAAAAUCAACAGACAUGGCAAGUUCUGGAAAUAAGGUAAGAGACAAGGGUCAGAGACAAGAAUAAAAUCAGACCCUAAUUUUCCUUCUUUUUUUGUGGUUUAAUUUUUUAAGUUUAUUUAUUUUGAGAGAGAGAGAGAAAGAGGGAGGGAGGGAAGGGCAGACAGGGAAGGAGAUGGAGAAUCCCAAACAGGCGUGGAGCCUGACGCGGGGCUUGAACUCACUAACUGGGAGAUCAUGAUCUGAGCCAAAGUCGGACACCUAAACGACUGAGCCACCCAGGCGUCCCCAGGCACUAAUUUUCUUAAUACCUCAAGAAUAUAAGUGGCCAAUGACCAGUUUGAGGAAGUAUAGAAAUAACAAUCCCAAUUCCUACAGAGAUUAGCAUAAACAUGUAGAAGGUUUUUAUUAUUUAUAGUAAUGGGAUAAACCACAAGUGUGCCUACUCACACAUCCAGGUUUUCCUUAAAGAAAAAAAAAAAAGCACAUUAGUUUCUCUUACUUGGAAUAUUUCAUCCUUAUGUGAUUCAAAGGAAUGCAACUUAAGUUUCAGAUUUCUCAGAUCCCACAAAGCAACGGUCUAGAUACAAAAAGGAAAGCAAGAACAAUCAAUUUUUUUUUAAUGAGAAGAAAUUCCGUAACUAAAAGAUCUCUGUGCAUUCAAAGGAAGCCAGAGAAAUUCACCCUAUGUUUUUUCUUAAAAUAAAACAAACUGACCUUGUCAGCCGAUCCUGUGGCAAGAAUGAACUCACUGUAAGGAUUGAAAGAUAGGCAGUUCACUUCAGCAGUGUGAGCAUCAACUGAGUGGCUUGGUUUGGAAGUAUUGUUUGAACGAGUAUCCCAGCUUUGAUAAAAAAGAAAAAACAGGAAAAAAGCUUAAAAUAGGUAACAAUAUAAAACUUAGAUAACAAAGAAAAAAUUAAAACACGAUUCUACUCACAUCAUAAGUUUCUGAUCAUCAGCAACUGACCCAAACAGAGACUCAUGGAGCAGAUGCCAGGAAACGUCUUCUACUACUGCUGUAUGCCCUGUAAAGAUGGUCUUCGCAUCCACAACUUUUCCUUCCUUUGGAACAGCACUGAUGUCCCAGAGGCAGAUGGUCUUAAAUGUAAAAUUAACUAUUAUAUAAAUGGAAGAUUCUCACUUUCCCACACACCCCAGAAAAGAAACCAACUGAUAACUAGCCCAGAUUUGCUUCAAAAUGGGAAGGAUACGCACAUGGUCAUCUGAAGCACUAAGUAAGUGCCCACUGAGAUUUGGGUUCCAAGAAAGCCCAUAGCCUUCCUUCUGAUGUCCACGGAGACGCAGGUCGGGGUUGCACUCUCCAGAAGGGUCUGCAAAGUAACCGACAUAUCAAGACUAUCCAGAGCCCACUUCCUCCUUGGGUCUACUAAACAUAAUGGAAUUUUGAUCAAGAGUUCGAAGGCUCUUCCUAUCUACAGCGAUACAGACCCAUUAUGAUCAAAGAAUGCUUAAAAUUAAAUGAGCAUCACUCUAUUCUGUGUAAAAAAGCACUUUUUUCCCCACCUGGGUAAGAAGAAUGAAAAAUACCCACACAUACCAGUAUAAAUCACCAGUAUAAAUUAUACAAAGAAUAACAAGCAAUUAAAUUCCAAUUGAGUGGAGCAAUGUAUUCCCACAGCGACUCAUUAUCUGUAUUUGAACUAAAGAGGGCAGGUACCUGGUUUGGAAGGAUGUUUGGUAUAGUCAAAAACAAGAACAUCGCUGGAUGGAGUCUUUGUUGCAAUGAUGCAAGGGUUCUGGGGCAUAUAGCGUGCCCUGUUUACUUCUCCUUCAUGGUUGAUCUUGAUCUCUAUUUCAAUUUUUCCACUAACUGAGCCAAAACCUCCAAAUUCUGUAAAUAAGAAAUUGCAAAUGAGGACAAAGCAAGAGAUACCCUAUGUCACUCAAAUGAUGACACAGGCCAAGUUUGCUUUUUAUCAGCAAACUGAUGUAAGAGAAGUAAUCUAGACAUUUGUCAGCAGUAUAAAGUGUUUUCACACCUUUUAUUGAUUCUUACUGCAAUACUACACAGUAGGGAACAGUUAAUAUCCUCAAAAUUUUUACAAAGAAAAACAGAAAUCUGGAGUACCUACAUUAAUGUGUUCCUAGUGACAUGACUUUGGCAGAACCUAAUGUGAAUCCCCAUUUUUUGAUUCCCAGUCUAGUAUUCUUUCAGCCAUAACUACACCAACUCUGGAGAGUUGUAUAAUUAAUAAAUAUAUAUGCUAUCUAAAAGUAGGAACACUAUACCAAUUCCACUUCAAAAGUAGGUUCUUGGGGUGCUUUGGUGGCUCAGUUUGUUAAGCAUUCAACUUCAAGUCAGGUCAUGAUCUCACUCGCUGCUGUCAGCGCAGAGCCUGCUUCAGAUUGUCUCCCCCUCUCUGUCCCUCCCCUGCUGGAGUUCUCCCUCUCCCUCUCUCAAAAAUAAUAAACAAAAUAAAUCAAAAAGCAGAUUCUCAAGCAAUUAAAAAAAUUUUUUAACCUUUAUUAUUUUUGAGAGGCAAAAAGAGACAGUGUGCGAGCAGGGGAGGGGCAGAGAGAGACAGGGAGACAGAAUCCGAAGGAGGCUCCAGGCUCUCAGCACACAGCCCGACGUGGGGAUCAAACCCAUGAACUGUGAGAUCAUGACCUGUGCUGAAGUUAGACGCUUAACCGAAUGAACCACCCAAACACCGUCAAUAAUCAAUUUUUAAAUCUCACUUAAAAUACUGAAAGUGCUGAAUAAACAGAACCUAAGUUACUAUUUUAAUGAAUAUUAGAGUACACAGUAUGCCAGGUACUAAAGAGUUCUUCCUAUACCAUUUAUUUGAAGACCUAGUUUGGAAUGUCCUUUCUGAAAUACCAUCACACCAUUAUCUUUGCCCUAUACCAUUUCUUUUAGUCCAGUGACAAAACACAGAGCCCAAGAGGUAGUUUCGUUUUCCUAACCCCCACUUACAUAUGCCAACCAUGAUCCUUAGCUGAAAUAAACCAGGCAAAGAAUAGAUAAAAACAUUUCUUAUUCACUUUUGACUACUGUAUGCACUUAGUUCUCCCAAGUGUCACCAUAAAAUGUAUAACAAUAUAAUUUGUGAUUAUGUAAAUCUUGGCAAAGCAACAUAUACACAAACAAAGGUAGUUAACUAUCAGUCAAAGAAUUACAAAAGGCAGAAUAAGAUAUCUAAGUAAGAGUCGGAUGUUGGCCUAACUGCCACUUAGCUUAGUGAUUUGGGGGAAGACCUUCAAUUUCUCUGAGCCUCAAAUACUUUAUUCAUAAAGCAAAGCUGUGAAAUUAACUUGUAAAUGAAAAUGCUGUCAAGAGUACUGUUACUAAGUGUUACACUUUGAAGGACAAAAAAAAAUUUUUUUUAAGUUUAUUUGGGAGGGUGGCAGGGAGAGGGAGAAUCCCCAAAAGGCUCUGUGCUGUCAGUGUUGAACCCAACAUGGGGCUUGAUCUCAUGAACAGUGAUCACGGCCUGAGCUGAAACCAAGAGUUAGACAGUUAACCAACUGAACCACCCAGGUACCCCAGGACAAAAAUCUUUUUAAAAAGCAAGGAUAUAGAUGGGUAAUAUGGCUGGCAGAUUAGAUAACUUUCAACUUCCAAGUUAACUUUUAGACGUUGAAAUGCAAAUGUUUCAUACAGGCUAAAAAUCUAAAAAUAAAAGCUCAAAAUAGACACUAAAAGAGAAAAAAAACCACGUUAAAUGAAUUUUCCCCCAGAACUCUAGACCAUGAGCAUCUAUGAUGUAAAAAAAGAAGGCAUGAUAGGAUGUGAUUGCAAGGAACUUUCAGUCCAAACACACAGAGAUAAAAUGUAACUACAGAUGACUAUGACAAAAAAGCAGAACUACCAGAAAACAGAUACCAAUAACAAGGGAAGAACAACAGCUGGCACAGAGUCUGCAGAACAAGGGUAUUAACUACAGAAUGUGGGGUAUUUUGGUGUGGGAUACAUACUAAACAGAGGAACUCUCUAACUGUGGAUAAAGUACAGUAAUAAGUCAGCUUAGAGGAUUCACAAUUGAGUUUUUGUGAAGAUGAUGAUUUAUCAAUUUAAAAAAUAAUUAGGGGUUCUCAAGUUAAAGCUGGUAUAUGAAAGGCCAAAUCUGAAAUAGGAAAGAUUGAGGCAUCAAUGUACAAUAAUUAAAUGGCUAUCAAAGUCCAGUUAUAUUUCUAUUUUGUUUGCUUCUCUCCAUAUAAAGUGGUAUUAAAAAAACUUGAGCUACAAUGUAGUAUAAGUGCCUAGUUUGACACAUUUUUACAAAUGUAUACACUAGGAAAACCACCACCCAGAUCAAAAUACAGAAAUUUCCAGCCUCCCAGAAGGAACUAUUGUGUCCCUCCCAGCCAGUAUUCUCCCCAACGAACUAGGUAACCGGCACUGACUUUUACCUCUAAGCCACUCUUUCAGCCCAUAAAAACCUUUUCACUAUAGGGGCGCCUGGGUGGCGCAGUCGGUUAAGCGUCCGACUUCAGCCAGGUCACGAUCUCGCGGUCCGUGAGUUCGAGCCCCGCGUCGGGCUCUGGGCUGAUGGCUCAGAGCCUGGAGCCUGUUUCCGAUUCUGUGUCUCCCUCUCUCUCUGCCCCUCCCCCGUUCAUGCUCUGUCUCUCUCUGUCCCAAAAAUAAAUAAACGUUGAAAAAAAAAUUAAAAAAAAAAAAAACGUGACUAUAGCCAGGCUGAACCUAAUAUAAACACAAAUUAUUUUAACGUCAAAACAAGACUAAGUCAGUUUUUAGUUUUCACUUUGGAAGUUCAAUGAUCUUUUGAAGCUAUCUGACAUCAAUUACCUAAAACCAAAUGGGGUCAAGUGGAUGGUAACUCAUUACAAUAGUUCAAUCUGAGAGUCCAGGACAUUUCAUCUGAGAGUGAGAGAGACUAGUAACUAUCUACUUCACCACCACCUAAGAGACACUAUGAUAUUAUGUACUUCCAUCAUCGUUAAGACCAUAUGGAGAGAAGCCUAUCCAGUGAUCUGAAGAUGGGGGGGGGGGGGAGAAGAGGGAAGGGAAGUAAAGAGAAGAGGGAGAAAUGGGAGAUAAGCUAUGUAACCUUAGGGCAAGUUACAAAACAUCUAUGAGUAUCAGUUUCCUUGUGAGGAUUAAAUAGGAUGAUUUAUAUAGUGGUACAAAUAUAAUUACUGGUAUUUUAAGUUGUUUCUCCAUAAUUAAACAUUAAUUAAGGGGGAUGAAGCAAAAAUUGGCUUGAUGCUGUUCAAAAAACUCAAUUACCAGAAAAAGACUUGAGUAUAUAUGUUAAAAAAUGCCACUUCUAAAACCAGUGAAGAAAAUAAUUUGCCAGCAAAUGGUUUUUAAAAAAUUGCUGGGGUGCCUGGGUGGCUCAGUUGGCUAAGUUUCCAACUCUUGAUUUUGGCUCAGGUCUUGAUCUCACAGUGGGAUUGAGCCCCUCAUGGGGCUUCGAGCUGACAGUGCAGGGUCUGCUUGGGAUUCUCUUUCUCCCUCUCUCUCUGUCCCUCCCCUGCUCAGGCAUGGGCUCUCAAAAUAAACAAACAUUAAAAAAAAAUUUUUUUUUAAAUAAAGAUAAAAAAUUGCUAACCACUUAGAAAAAUGCUUAGAUUCCUACUCCGUACACAAUACCAAAACAAAUACCAGGAAGAUUAUAGUUUUAAUGGUUAAAACAUAAGUACCAGAAAACAACAGCUAAAUAUUUUAAAAUCUUGGAAUGAUGAAGGCAUUCAAAGAAUGACACAAUAUCUGAAGGACAUCAGAGAAAAGUUGGACAGGUAAAUCCAAUGUUGCCGAGGGCAUGGAGAAACAUACAAAUACGAUUGCUAUUGGUGGGAUUGAAUGUUUUUUGGAGGGCAGUUUUGCUCUGAUCGGCCUUCCACUUAGAAAAUUUAUCCUAUAAUGGGGCGCCUGGGUGGCUCAGUUGGUUAAGCAUCUGACUUCGGCUCAGGUCAUGAUCUCACUGUUUGUGAGUUAGAGCCCCACGUCGGGCUCUGUGCUGACAGCUCAGAGCCUGGAGCCUGCUUUGCAUUCUGUGUCUCCCUCUCUCUCUGCUUCUGCCCCACUCAUGCUGUCUCUCUCAAGAAUGAAUAAACAUCAAAAAAAUAAAAUUAAAAAAGAAAAACAAAACUUAUUCUAUAGUAAAACUAUAAAGGACAUAUGGUACAAGUACUGUUUUUGAAGUCCGAAAAUUGGAAACCACCUAAAUGUCAAAUAAGGGAUAGUUAAUUAUGACACAGUAUAUAACCAUCAAAAGGAAAUUAUGUCUAAACAAAACAAAACAAAAAAGGAGCUAUGUCUUACACAAAAAGAUGUUCAAGAUACAUCAGGCCAGAAAAGCCUAUUCUAUGCUGUAUCCCUAGUACCAAGGAAAAACCCUGGCAUUCAGUAUUUGCUUUGAUUUUUAAAAUAAUUUAUUACGGGGCGCCUGGGUGGCGCAGUCGGUUGGGCGUCCGACUUCAGCCAGGUCACGAUCUCGCGGUCCGUGAGUUCAAGCCCCGCGUCGGGCUCUGGGCUGAUGGCUCAGAGCCUGGAGCCUGUUUCCAAUUCUGUGUCUCCCUCUCUCUCUGCCCCUCCCCCGUUCAUGCUCUGUCUCUCUCUGUCCCAAAAAUAAAUAAACGUUGAAAAAAAAAAUUAAAAAAAAAAAAUAAUAAUUUAUUACAUUACCCAUCAGAAUAUUGCUUUGUCACUAAACCAAAAAUCCUAUUUCAAAACAACUUAUCUUCAUUUUUUUUAAAGAUUUUAAUUAAAAUUUUUAAUGUUUAGAGAGAGAGAGAGAACACACACAAGUGAGGGAGGGGCAGAGAGAGAGGGAGAUACAGAAUUCAAAGCAGCCUCCAGGCUCUGAGCUGUCAGCACAGAGCCUGAUGCAGGGCUUGAACUCCCGAACCGUGAGAUCAUGACCUGAGCUCCAGUCACAUGCUUAACCGACUGAGCCACCCAGGCGACCCACAAUUUAUCUUCAUUUAAUAAAAAGGAAAUUAAUGCUCAGAGAGGCUAAAUGAUUUAUCCAAAACCACACAGCUAGUGAGAGGCAUAACAGGAUCUCAAGCCAAAAUCUUCGGAUUCUUAGAUUCAGUGCCCACCCCCCCCCCAACACUAAUGCUUAUCAAGAAAAUAACUUCCCAAUAAUCAUAUCACAUAUACUUGGGUCAGUGACACAAAAUCAUGUUUGCAGAUCAUUACCUUAAGAACUUACUACUUUGCAUUCUGUAUCACCCUAAGGCAAAUAUGGAGUAAUCAAAAGAUUAACUGCACAGAACGAUCCUGGCAAAUAACUGGAGGGAGCUCAAAAGAACUUAGAUAAAAAAUGGAUUCUGCUAGUCAGAAGAAAUCUAAAGAAAGAAACAUUAAACAUCCAUUUUUUUUUUAAAAGAUCGCAAAUCUCAAAGAGUGUAACUUUUACCUCUUGGUACUAACUUGCGUUCAAGGGUAACAACAAAGGUAACUCACCCAUUUCCACCUCUACUAAAAGGGAAAAAGUAUUUAGUUAAACCCUUAGGUCAUCUCCUAAAAAUAGGAUACAAUUAAAUGGCUCAUUUAAUUUUUAUAUACAUAUCAAGUGCCAUGGUUGUCAUUUCUACCACUUCAAUCUGAGAAAGCGUAAUUUAAGCCAGUGUUUCUUAGUCUUUUUUCCCCAAGAAACAAGAUGUUUUAUAAAACAUCUUUUCUGACACUCUUGAUGAAAUUUUAAUACCAUAGAUACCCUGUAUAUUUAUGUACACCAUGCACAUCUGUGCUUUACACAUUUAAAGAAUUAAGAUGGUUUUCACACAUCCCACUCUCUGAGAACAAAUUUUCAUCCCCUUGGGGGCAAUUAUCUCCCAAGCUGAGAAUGCAUGCACAAAAACAGAAAUGGUAGACUUUUGGGGCACCUGGCUGGCUCAGUCAAUAGAGCAUGCAACUCUUAAUCUUGGGGUUUUGAGUGUGAGCCCCACGUUGGGUGUAGAGAUUACUUAAAUUAAAAAACAAUAAAAAGGGGCACCGGGGUGGCUCAGUUGGUUAAGUGUCCGACUCUUGAUUUUGGCUCAGGUCAUGAUCUCAUGGUUCAUGAGUUUGAGCCCUGCGUUGGGCUCUGUGCUGGCAGCAUGGAGCCUGCUUGGCAUGUUCUCCAUACCACCUCCCCCCCCAAAUAAAUAAACAUAAGGAAAACGACAACAACAACAAAAACCUCCUUAGUAGAGAGAGGUUUAUAGAAAAGGCACAGAACCAUGUUAUGUGUUAAGUAGCUCUUCUCAGACUUAAGAUCCGUACUGCAAACCCAGGCUUUCCAAAGCUCAAAAUCUUAUUACUAACUUGACAGGCUAAUUUAUCAAACUUAACAUUCGUUUCAUGAUACUUCAAAAAUAUAAAAAAUAUAACCCACACAUUAUUCCUUCUUUUGUUUUUAAGAUUCCUACCUCCUUUCUCACUAUCGUAGUGGGAAGCAUCAAACUGAGCAUCAUCGUUAGGGAGCUGCACACUGGCUAUCACAAGGUGGUUUUGUUCAUCCGACGUGUGUGUUCCCAGGACAAGUCGAUGAAUGCUGAAGUCUUUCCCUUCUGGUCUGUUAACAGCAACAUAUGGUCACUAUUCAAAUUAGCAACACUGAUAGAGACAAUGAAGUAGUGAUAUACAUAUACACGCAAAAAGGCACAAUUAUAACCAGGUUUUGAGAGAACAAAGUCAUUAUGAGCCACAUUUCUAACUUUUAAAAAAUCUUUUUAACGUUUAUUUACUUUUGAGAGAUAGACAGCAUGAGCAAAGGAGGGGCAGAGACAGAGGAAGACACAGAAUCCAAAGCAGGCUCCAGGCUCCAAGCUGUCAGCACAGAGCCCAACGCGGGGCUUGAACUCACGAAUUGUGAGAUCAUGACCUGAGCUGAAGUCGGACACUUAACUGACUGAGCCACCCAGGCACCCCUACACAUUUCUGACUUUUAAUGUAUCUUCCAUAGAGAAGACUACCUAGCACUUAAUAGGACUACAUAGCACUUCAUUUUCUUGACAAAAAAUUUAUAAUUACUUUGGGUAAAACAUCUAACAGAAUAAAAUGUGAAUUAAUUUCUCACCCUCCACAAUGGGUUGGAGGUAAACAAAGUAAUCGCUGGGUACACUAACACUUCAGGUUACUUCAUUAAUUUCAUUAAAAGGUAUAGAAAAGAAAAUAAUUAUUAGAUAAACUAAUUGUUCAAAUAUUUACUAAGUGCCUAAUCAGUGACACAUUGUGCCAAAAACUACGAAGUACAAAAAAUGAUUAAGACAUGAUUCAUGCCCUUAAAAAGCCAGGGCAAUUAAUCACAUAUACAAAUAAUUAAAACACAAGUCAAUAAAUACAUGAAACGUACAUAAGAAUAUGAGAAUUUAAAAAUAAAUAAAUAGGGGCGCCUGGGUGGCUCAGUUGGUUAAACAACUGACUUCGGCUCAGGUCAUGAUCUCGCAGUUUGUUGAGUUCGAGCCCUGCGUUGGGCUCUGUGCUGACAGCUCAGAGCCUGGAGCCUGCUUCAGAUUCUGUGUCUCCCUCUCUCUGCCCCUCCCCUACUCUCGCUCUGUGACUGUCUCCCAAUAAUAAAUAAACGCUAAAAAAAAUUUAAAUAAAUAAAUACAUAAGAUUGCUUCUGGAAUUAAAGAAGUAUUCAUGAAAGAGGUGAUACUUAAGCAGAUAUCAAAAUGAGAGAUAAAACCUAGAAGAGACAAGGGUUUUGAAAGACAGUAUUCCAAAGAAA